GAUGAACGCUGGCGGCGUGCCUAAUACAUGCAAGUCGAGCGAACAGACGAGGAGCUUGCUCCUUUGACGUUAGCGGCGGACGGGUGAGUAACACGUGGGUAACCUACCUAUAAGACUGGGAUAACUUCGGGAAACCGGAGCUAAUACCGGAUAAUAUUUCGAACCGCAUGGUUCGAUAGUGAAAGAUGGCUUUGCUAUCACUUAUAGAUGGACCUGCGCCGUAUUAGCUAGUUGGUAAGGUAACGGCUUACCAAGGCAACGAUACGUAGCCGACCUGAGAGGGUGAUCGGCCACACUGGAACUGAGACACGGUCCAGACUCCUACGGGAGGCAGCAGUAGGGAAUCUUCCGCAAUGGGCGAAAGCCUGACGGAGCAACGCCGCGUGAGUGAUGAAGGUCUUCGGAUCGUAAAACUCUGUUAUUAGGGAAGAAUAAACGUGUAAGUAACUGUGCACGUCUUGACGGUACCUAAUCAGAAAGCCACGGCUAACUACGUGCCAGCAGCCGCGGUAAUACGUAGGUGGCAAGCGUUAUCCGGAAUUAUUGGGCGUAAAGCGCGCGUAGGCGGUUUUUUAAGUCUGAUGUGAAAGCCCACGGCUCAACCGUGGAGGGUCAUUGGAAACUGGAAAACUUGAGUGCAGAAGAGGAAAGUGGAAUUCCAUGUGUAGCGGUGAAAUGCGCAGAGAUAUGGAGGAACACCAGUGGCGAAGGCGACUUUCUGGUCUGUAACUGACGCUGAUGUGCGAAAGCGUGGGGAUCAAACAGGAUUAGAUACCCUGGUAGUCCACGCCGUAAACGAUGAGUGCUAAGUGUUAGGGGGUUUCCGCCCCUUAGUGCUGCAGCUAACGCAUUAAGCACUCCGCCUGGGGAGUACGACCGCAAGGUCGAAACUCCAAGGAAUUGACGGGGACCCGCACAAGCGGUGGAGCAUGUGGUUUAAUUCGAAGCAACGCGAAGAACCUUACCAAAUCUUGACAUCCUUUGACCCUUCUAGAGAUAGAAGUUUCCCCUUCGGGGGACAAAGUGACAGGUGGUGCAUGGUUGUCGUCAGCUCGUGUCGUGAGAUGUUGGGUUAAGUCCCGCAACGAGCGCAACCCUUAAGCUUAGUUGCCAUCAUUAAGUUGGGCACUCUAAGUUGACUGCCGGUGACAAACCGGAGGAAGGUGGGGAUGACGUCAAAUCAUCAUGCCCCUUAUGAUUUGGGCUACACACGUGCUACAAUGGACAAUACAAAGGGCAGCGAAACCGCGAGGUCAAGCAAAUCCCAUAAAGUUGUUCUCAGUUCGGAUUGUAGUCUGCAACUCGACUACAUGAAGCUGGAAUCGCUAGUAAUCGUAGAUCAGCAUGCUACGGUGAAUACGUUCCCGGGUCU
This 1372-nucleotide ribosomal RNA is filed under the name uncultured bacterium. Its description in RNAcentral is "bacterial SSU rRNA". It matches the Rfam family "Bacterial small subunit ribosomal RNA", at positions 28 to 1381 of the family's 1533-position model. The record is from RNAcentral.